UGGAAAAAGNGCGUGAAGAAAAGUUAGACGUG
Molecule: non-coding RNA, 32 nt
Filed under: Mus musculus (house mouse)
Lineage: Eukaryota; Metazoa; Chordata; Mammalia; Rodentia; Muridae
Source: RNAcentral